UCCUCCGCAUGGAGGAAAAAGGAAAGACGGCUUUUGCUGUCACUUACAGAUGGGCCCGCGGCGCAUUAGCUAGUUGGUGGGGUAACGGCUCACCAAGGCAACGAUGCGUAGCCGACCUGAGAGGGUGAUCGGCCACAUUGGGACUGAGACACGGCCCAAACUCCUACGGGAGGCAGCAGUAGGGAAUCUUCCGCAAUGGACGAAAGUCUGACGGAGCAACGCCGCGUGAGUGAAGAAGGCCUUCGGGUCGUAAAACUCUGUUGCCGGGGAAGAACAAGUGCCGUUCGAACAGGGCGGCGCCUUGACGGUACCCGGCCAGAAAGCCACGGCUAACUACGUGCCAGCAGCCGCGGUAAUACGUAGGUGGCAAGCGUUGUCCGGAAUUAUUGGGCGUAAAGCGCGCGCAGGCGGCUUCUUAAGUCUGAUGUGAAAUCUUGCGGCUCAACCGCAAGCGGUCAUUGGAAACUGGGAGGCUUGAGUGCAGAAGAGGAGAGUGGAAUUCCACGUGUAGCGGUGAAAUGCGUAGAGAUGUGGAGGAACACCAGUGGCGAAGGCGGCUCUCUGGUCUGUAACUGACGCUGAGGCGCGAAAGCGUGGGGAGCAAACAGGAUUAGAUACCCUGGUAGUCCACGCCGUAAACGAUGAGUGCUAAGUGUUAGAGGGUUUCCGCCCUUUAGUGCUGCAGCUAACGCAUUAAGCACUCCGCCUGGGGAGUACGGCCGCAAGGCUGAAACUCAAAGGAAUUGACGGGGGCCCGCACAAGCGGUGGAGCAUGUGGUUUAAUUCGAAGCAACGCGAAGAACCUUACCAGGUCUUGACAUCCUCUGACCUCCCUGGAGACAGGGCCUUCCCCUUCGGGGGACAGAGUGACAGGUGGUGCAUGGUUGUCGUCAGCUCGUGUCGUGAGAUGUUGGGUUAAGUCCCGCAACGAGCGCAACCCUUGACCUUAGUUGCCAGCAUUCAGUUGGGCACUCUAAGGUGACUGCCGGUGACAAACCGGAGGAAGGUGGGGAUGACGUCAAAUCAUCAUGCCCCUUAUGACCUGGGCUACACACGUGCUACAAUGGAUGGUACAAAGGGCUGCGAGACCGCGAGGUUAAGCCAAUCCCAGAAAACCAUUCCCAGUUCGGAUUGCAG
RNAcentral lists this ribosomal RNA (1137 nucleotides) under Heyndrickxia coagulans. Its description in RNAcentral is "bacterial SSU rRNA". It matches the Rfam family "Bacterial small subunit ribosomal RNA", at positions 182 to 1303 of the family's 1533-position model. The record is from RNAcentral. Lineage: Bacteria; Bacillati; Bacillota; Bacilli; Caryophanales; Bacillaceae.